This 497-nucleotide ribosomal RNA is filed under the name uncultured bacterium. RNAcentral's name for it is "partial 16S ribosomal RNA". It matches the Rfam family "Bacterial small subunit ribosomal RNA", at positions 28 to 507 of the family's 1533-position model. The record is from RNAcentral.
GAUGAACGCUGGCGGCGUGCCUAAUACAUGCAAGUCGAGCGAACAGACGAGGAGCUUGCUCCUCUGACGUUAGCGGCGGACGGGUGAGUAACACGUGGAUAACCUACCUAUAAGACUGGGAUAACUUCGGGAAACCGGAGCUAAUACCGGAUAAUAUAUUGAACCGCAUGGUUCAAUAGUGAAAGACGGUUUUGCUGUCACUUAUAGAUGGAUCCGCGCCGCAUUAGCUAGUUGGUAAGGUAACGGCUUACCAAGGCAACGAUGCGUAGCCGACCUGAGAGAGUGAUCGGCCACACUGGAACUGAGACACGGUCCAGACUCCUACGGGAGGCAGCAGUAGGGAAUCUUCCGCAAUGGGCGAAAGCCUGACGGAGCAACGCCGCGUGAGUGAUGAAGGUCUUCGGAUCGUAAAACUCUGUUAUUAGGGAAGAACAAAUGUGGAAGUAACUAUGCACGUCUUGACGGUACCUAAUCAGAAAGCCACGGCUAACUACGUG